UAAACUAGGAUUAGAUACCCUAUUAUUGAAGUUGAAAAUGAAAAGGCCAGAUUAGUAAUAGUUAUGUUCUUGAAAAUUAAAGAUAAUGGCGGUGUUUUACUCCAGUCAGAGGAACCUGUUCUUUGAAUGAUAGUCCACGAUUGGCUUUGCUUUUUUUCUUAGUUUGUAUAUCGUCGUUUUUGAAAACCUUAUAAGGGAAAGAGUUUUCAAUAAUUUUUUAUAAAAAUAAAGACAGAUCAAGGUGCAGCUUAUAAAAGAGUAGAAAUGGGUUACAUUUAAUAAAUUAGUGGAAUAUUAAAUUUUAAUUUUUAUAUGAAAGUGGAUUUGAUAGUAAUAAGCAAUAAAUUUUGUUUAUGAUUUGGGUUCUAAAAUGUGCACAUAUUGCCCGUCGCUUUCAUUAGAGUGAAAUAAGUCGUAACAUAGUAGGUGUACUGGAAAGUGUACCUAGAGGACAGGUUAUAGCUUAAAUUUAAAGUUUUUUAUUUACAUUAAAGGGAUCAGUGUGUAAAUCAAUGUAAUGAGAGGGUACUUUUGAUAAAAUUGUUUUAGGGGAAAUAGUUUUAAUCUUAGUGGGGUUUUCGAAAAGAAUACUUUAAUCAAUAGUUAAUUAGUACAGUGAUGGAAUUAUCAAAUUUUUUAAAAAGAAAGAUUAAUUUUUUGUACCUUGUGUAUCAGGGUUUAUUUAUUAAGAUUUAUUUAUUUAAAUUUCCCGAAUUGAAAAGAGCUAAAAUUGUAUUGAUUUUUAUGUUUCAAUAUAACUUAAAAUACGGUUUUAGUAGUGAAAAGCUUUUCAUUUUUCAAUAUAUCUGGUUUUUAAGGAAAUGAAUUUAAUUCAUCUAAAGAUUUACUUUUUUUUUUGUUUUAUUUUAAAGAAAUUUUUAGUUAAUUAUUAAGGGGAUGAGCUUUUAUUAAUAUUUUUAAACUAAUAAAUUAGUAAUAAAUAAGUAGAAUUAGAAUUGUUUAUCUUUAUAAUAAUUUUGUAAUUAAUUUAUUAUAUACAAUAAUUUUUUAAUUAGUUAGAUUUUUUACUUAAAUUUUAAUUGAAAUAUAAUUUGUUAAGAAACUAUGAUUAAAUUAGUAGAUAUGUUUAUAGAUAAUAUACUUUUUGAAAGGUAUUAAAAAGGAACUCGGCAAAUGAGUUUUUCGCCUGUUUAAUAAAAACAUGUCCUUUUGAAUAUUAUUUAAGGUCUAAUCUGCUCAAUGAUUAUUUAAAUUGCCGCGGUAAUUUGACUGUGCAAAGGUAGCAUAAUAAUUUGUUUUUUUAUUGAAAACUGGAAUGAAUGAUUGGACGAGAAAACAUCUGUCUUUUUGAUAAUUUUAUUGAAUUUAACUUUUUAGUAAAAAGGCUUAGAUAAUUUUAAAAGACGAGAAGACCCUAUAGAAUUUAAUAGUUUAUAAAAUGAAAAGUUAAUUAGUAUAAUAAUCUCUUAUUUUUUUGUCUAUUUGAUUGGGGAGAUUAGAAGAUAGAUUAAACUCUUUAAAUAUUUAGUCAUUGAUGAAUGAAUAAAAAAUCUUAGUUUUUCAAGAUUAAAAUAAAUUACCUUAGGGAUAACAGCGUUAUUUUUCUUUUGAGUUCUUAUUGGAAGAAAAGUUUGCGACCUCGAUGUUGGAUUAAAUUUAAUUUUGGGUGCAGAAGCUUAAAAAUUAAGUCUGUUCGACUUUUAAAAUUUUACAUGAUCUGAGUUCAAACCGGAGA
This 1696-nucleotide ribosomal RNA is filed under the name Pseudotetralobus sp. NLG-2014. RNAcentral's name for it is "partial 16S ribosomal RNA". Lineage: Eukaryota; Metazoa; Arthropoda; Insecta; Coleoptera; Elateridae. The record is from RNAcentral.